Molecule: transfer RNA, 69 nt
Filed under: Leiolepis boehmei
Lineage: Eukaryota; Metazoa; Chordata; Lepidosauria; Squamata; Agamidae
Description: tRNA-Ala
Rfam family: tRNA
About the family: Transfer RNA (tRNA) molecules are approximately 80 nucleotides in length. Their secondary structure includes four short double-helical elements and three loops (D, anti-codon, and T loops).
Source: RNAcentral
AAAAUCUUAGCUUAAAUAAAGUAUCCGGGUUGCAUUCGGAUGAUAUAGAUUAGAGUUCUAUAGGUUUUA